This 220-nucleotide ribosomal RNA is filed under the name uncultured Glomus. RNAcentral's name for it is "partial small subunit ribosomal RNA". It matches the Rfam family "Eukaryotic small subunit ribosomal RNA", at positions 591 to 817 of the family's 1831-position model. The record is from RNAcentral. Lineage: Eukaryota; Fungi; Glomeromycota; Glomeromycetes; Glomerales; Glomeraceae.
CCAAUAGCGUAUAUUAAAGUUGUUGCAGUUAAAAAGCUCGUAGUUGAAUUUCGGGAUCAAUACUUCGGUCGUGCCACGGUACGUACUGGGGUCAUUGAUUUCUCCCUUCUGAAGAACCAUGAUGUCAUUAACUUGGUGUUAUGGGAAAUCAGGACUGUUACUUUGAAAAAAUUAGAGUGUUUAAAGCAGGCUCACGCUUGAAUACAUUAGCAUGGAAUAA